UACGUAGGUGGCAAGCGUUGUCCGGAAUUAUUGGGCGUAAAGCGCGCGCAGGCGGUUAUGUAAGUCUGAUGUUAAAGCCCGGGGCUCAACCUCGGUUCGCAUUGGAAACUGUGUAACUUGAGUGCAGAAGAGGAAAGUGGUAUUCCACGUGUAGCGGUGAAAUGCGUAGAUAUGUGGAGGAACACCAGUGGCGAAGGCGACUUUCUGGUCUGUAACUGACGCUGAGGCGCGAAAGCGUGGGGAGCAAACAGG
This 252-nucleotide ribosomal RNA is filed under the name uncultured bacterium. RNAcentral's name for it is "partial 16S ribosomal RNA". It matches the Rfam family "Bacterial small subunit ribosomal RNA", at positions 524 to 776 of the family's 1533-position model. The record is from RNAcentral.